Molecule: ribosomal RNA, 459 nt
Filed under: uncultured bacterium
Lineage: Bacteria
Description: bacterial SSU rRNA
Rfam family: Bacterial small subunit ribosomal RNA
Source: RNAcentral
UAACACAUGCAAGUCGAGCGGUAGAGAGGUGCUUGCAUCUCUUGAGAGCGGCGGACGGGUGAGUAAUGCCUAGGAAUCUGCCUGGUGUGGGGGGAUAACGUUCGGAAACGGACGCUAAUACCGCAUACGUCCUACGGGNGAAAGCGGGGGAUCGCAAGACCUCGCGCGAUUGGGAGCGGCCGAUAUCAGAUUAGGUAGUUGGUGAGGUAAAGGCUCACCAAGCCAACGAUCUGUAGCUGGUCUGAGAGGACGACCAGCCACACUGGGACUGAGACACGGCCCAGACUCCUACGGGAGGCAGCAGUGGGGAAUUUUGGACAAUGGGCGCAAGCCUGAUCCAGCCAUGCCGCGUGCAGGAUGACGGUCCUAUGGAUUGUAAACUGCUUUUGUACAGGAAGAAACACUGGUUCGUGAACCGGCUUGACGGUACUGUAAGAAUAAGGAUCGGCUAACUCCGUG